This is a long non-coding RNA of Armigeres subalbatus, 872 nucleotides long. RefSeq lists it as uncharacterized. The transcript has 3 exons. Lineage: Eukaryota; Metazoa; Arthropoda; Insecta; Diptera; Culicidae. The record is from RefSeq and is a predicted model, not a curated record.
CAAUACAAAAUAUUGUACGCUUAUUGUAAAAUUUUCACGGUUGUAAAAGAUCUUUAUUGUACUUACAUUAAAAUAACACUAUAUUUAAAUGUUACCAAUACAUUCUAUUAUAUUUUUAUUGUUCGCUUAUGUUUAGUAUUGCUCAUCCAAAAACUAAACAAAUUAUAAAAGUAUUCGGUUUGCAUGAUCUGGAAAUUCGUCUAAUGUAAUUGAAUUAAUAUCAUUUUGGAAAAUUUCGUGUAUUUAUUAUAUUGAUGAAAUAACAAUUGAAAACAAUAAAAUUACAAUAGCUUUGCUUAUUAAAUGAAUAAAAAUGUUAUACCAAUUCUCAAGUAAUAUAUUUUCAUAUUGCAGGUCUAGAAAUGUUAUGCAAUAAAAAUUGAAAUUAAAAAAUGAAAGGUAACAAAAACUUUUGCUCAUUAUUUUACUCGGAGAAUGGCUGGAUUCAUUUGAGCGUGUACAGUUUUGUUUAUAAUUAGUGAAGAGAUGAAAAUAAUGAAACUGUAUGGUGCAGAAAGUGUCUUUUUAAUUACAGUUUCUGGUGCUGGGCAACGGUAGAUCACUAUGGCUUCAGUACCGUGAAAUGAAGCUUAUGAUGAAAUACUGAUGCUUGGCCAAUCUCACCAACGGGAUAUAAUAAGAACUGAUGCAGGUUUAUAACUACAUGUAUUGUCUAUCCGGAACAAAGUUAGUACGCUUUUUAUACCGAAGUUGGAUUUUUCUCCAGAUACAGGCAACUUACCCAACUUCGAAAGUAGUGCGCUGGAUUCGCCUAAAGAUGCGCUAAACAACGCAUCAAUUAGUUUGACAGAUAAAACUUUUGAAGAAAGUUCGGAAGUCCCGACAGCAAAGCGAGGUAAAAUGAGUGAAAA